CUCCGACUCCCUCUUUAGAUAACGGAGCUUCCAACGGUUUCCAGAUUUUGAAAUCAACCAGAAACUAUCAUUAGCUGAAUUGUACACCCCUAAAUUUCCUAAGUUGAAGCUCCACUUCUUAUAUGGAGAACAGGCCUACCAAGGGGUAAUUCAAUCAAUACUGAAGCGGACAAGGCGGAGCCUAAUCUAAUCUGGCCUGUGUCCUUACAAGAAGGGGAAAUUAGAACAUUCAGAAAGACAGCAGUCAUGUGUACACUCUGUGAUGGUUAAUCUUCAUCAUCAACUUGACUGCAUUUACUAUCACCAUGGAAACAUGUCUAGGUGCUUCCGGAAAUGUAACUGAGGUAAGACCCACCCCACCGAAGAAGGUGAGAGGCGGUAUUCAAUGGAAUAGUGGCCUGGCAUUAUUCAAAAGGAGGGAGCCAGCUGUCCCAGCAUUCCUUUCUUUCCCGACUCCUAACCGAGAAGGCAGCCAGAGGGCGAAAGAGGAAUUGCCUCCGAGGAAACCACCUCUGUAGCUCCUUGAUCUAGAUCCCCAGUCUCCAAGAACUAAGGGGAAAGAACCUUUGCUGGGUCUGUUUCCGUCUGGGAAGCUCUGGCUGGCAGCCGGAGGGAGGGCACUAAGAGGAGAGCCAACACCUGUGCCCCCACGUCUGUAAUCAGAAACAUCAUCCAUACUGGGAAAUAACCUGCCUUCCCCUUAGUCAUGAACCAGCUCGCAGCACUUUGUGCAAACCACCGGACUUCCCUAAGAGUUCCAAGCUUUCAGGAAUGUCUUCCGGAACUCCCACUUGGCCACACCCUCUGUGCACCAAGUUUCUCAGCCACUCAGAAUCCUCUCUGCUCUAUGUGUUUCCUGGGAUUUGUACCCAAAUCCUCUGGGUACAGAAGGAAAACCAAGACUGGGCUCCUUCUGCCUCACUUCAUCACACAUCCAACUUCCAGAGGGAAAGGAAGAAGGAGGUUUGAAGCCUACCAUUUCCUACACCGGUGUCUCAGAAUGAAAACUGAUCUGCACGCUGGAACAAAGGGGAAGAUUGACGAUUUCUGCCACGUGUUAUUCCACCAGGACAUCCUGGGGCAUGAGAAGCCCUUCACACACAACCCACCACUGCAGAAGUAGGGCAUUGGGCUCCCGAUACAGAUAGUAAGUCCUGUUUUGAAUAACACGAGUAAACCAGCACCAAAGGAAACCUGAAGAGCCAUAAGCUGAGAAAUACAUCAUUUGAAAGAAAAUCUGCCCUCAAAGGGCUAUCAUGACUCCCGUUGAAUGGGGGGAGGGGCGAUUAUGAACUUGGUGCUUCGCCAUCUUCUUCCCAGCAAUGCCAGCGCCUUCUUCCUCCCCCCAUCUCAGAGGGGCUUGCCCUUUGGAAUCCUUAAUGAAACAAUAAAGUAGGAAUCAAGAGAAUUCA
This 1412-nucleotide long non-coding RNA is filed under the name Mus spicilegus (steppe mouse). RNAcentral's name for it is "lncRNA (ENSMSIG00000001318.1)". Lineage: Eukaryota; Metazoa; Chordata; Mammalia; Rodentia; Muridae. The record is from RNAcentral.